UACGAAGGGGGCUAGCGUUGCUCGGAAUUACUGGGCGUAAAGGGCGCGUAGGCGGAUGACUAAGUCGGGGGUGAAAGCCCGGGGCUCAACCUCGGAACUGCCUUCGAUACUGGUCAUCUUGAGUACGGGAGAGGUGUGUGGAACUCCGAGUGUAGAGGUGAAAUUCGUAGAUAUUCGGAAGAACACCAGUGGCGAAGGCGGUUCUCUGGGCCUUACCUGACGCUGAGGAGCGAAAGCGUGGGGAGCAAACAGG
Molecule: ribosomal RNA, 253 nt
Filed under: uncultured bacterium
Lineage: Bacteria
Description: partial 16S ribosomal RNA
Rfam family: Bacterial small subunit ribosomal RNA
Source: RNAcentral